Gossypium raimondii (Peruvian cotton) is the source of this 126-nucleotide non-coding RNA. The record is from Rfam. NCBI's taxonomy places the organism in Eukaryota, Viridiplantae, Streptophyta, Magnoliopsida, Malvales, Malvaceae.
GGGCGUAGGCCUCUUAAAAGGAGUGCAAAGGCAGAAGGGAGCUUGAUUCAAGACCCACCUGUCUAGUAAGGACGAAAAUCAGCUUUAGUGAUCCGAUUGUGCCGAGUGAAAGGGUCGUCGCUCAAC